CUCACUCUCGUCUUCCUCAUCAUGCCGUCUCCCGUCAUGUUCUCUCAAAUCAUCAAUGGCAGAUUUUGGUCUUCCAGUUGCAUGUCUUCACACUCCAGUGCUACACAUCUUCUCCUGUAAUUUUUUUCUCUACUUUUCAUAUUUUGCUCAACUCUUGAGCCAUUGUCUUGUCCACGAAAUUGCUGCCUGCUGCAAUAUUUGAAACUUAAACUGCCUUAGCCUUCACCCUUCAGGUCCUGUAAUAGUUAGAUUU
RNAcentral lists this long non-coding RNA (253 nucleotides) under Olea europaea (common olive). Its description in RNAcentral is "long non-coding RNA (OEUR_LNC012136)". The record is from RNAcentral. Lineage: Eukaryota; Viridiplantae; Streptophyta; Magnoliopsida; Lamiales; Oleaceae.